RNAcentral lists this ribosomal RNA (484 nucleotides) under uncultured bacterium. Its description in RNAcentral is "partial 16S ribosomal RNA". It matches the Rfam family "Bacterial small subunit ribosomal RNA", at positions 30 to 507 of the family's 1533-position model. The record is from RNAcentral.
AUUGAACGCUGGCGGCAGGCCUAACACAUGCAAGUCGAGCGGAUGAAGGGAGCUUGCUCCUGGAUUCAGCGGCGGACGGGUGAGUAAUGCCUAGGAAUCUGCCUGGUAGUGGGGGAUAACGUCCGGAAACGGGCGCUAAUACCGCAUACGUCCUGAGGGAGAAAGUGGGGGGUCUUCGGACCUCACGCUAUCAGAUGAGCCUAGGUCGGUUUAGCUAGUUGGUGGGGUGAAGGCCUACCAAGGCGAGGAUCGGUAACUGGUCUGAGAGGAUGAUCAGUCACACUGGAACUGAGACACGGUCCAGGCUCCUACGGGAGGGAGCAGUGGGGAAUAUUGGACAAUGGGCGAAAACCUGAUCCAGCCAUGCCGCGUGUGUGAAGAAGGUCUUCGGAUUGUAAAGCACUUUAAGUUGGGAGGAAGGGCAGUAAGUUAAUACCUUGCUGUUUUGACGUUACCAACAGAAUAAGCACCGGCUAACUUCGUG